AAUGAACGCUGGCGGCAUGCCUAACACAUGCAAGUCGAACGAAGGCUUCGGCCUUAGUGGCGCACGGGUGCGUAACGCGUGGGAAUCUGCCCUCAGGUUCGGAAUAACAGCGAGAAAUUGCUGCUAAUACCGGAUGAUAUCGCGAGAUCAAAGAUUUAUCGCCUGAGGAUGAGCCCGCGUAGGAUUAGCUAGUUGGUGUGGUAAAGGCGCACCAAGGCGACGAUCCUUAGCUGGUCUGAGAGGAUGAUCAGCCACACUGGGACUGAGACACGGCCCAGACUCCUACGGGAGGCAGCAGUGGGGAAUAUUGGACAAUGGGCGAAAGCCUGAUCCAGCAAUGCCGCGUGAGUGAUGAAGGCCUUAGGGUUGUAAAGCUCUUUUACCCGGGAUGAUAAUGACAGUACCGGGAGAAUAAGCUCCGGCUAACUCCGUGC
Molecule: ribosomal RNA, 434 nt
Filed under: uncultured bacterium
Lineage: Bacteria
Description: bacterial SSU rRNA
Rfam family: Bacterial small subunit ribosomal RNA
Source: RNAcentral